UGCUGAAUCAGUUGUGGGG
Molecule: unclassified non-coding RNA, 19 nt
Filed under: Mus musculus (house mouse)
Lineage: Eukaryota; Metazoa; Chordata; Mammalia; Rodentia; Muridae
Description: oocyte_clustered_small_RNA12945
Source: RNAcentral